Molecule: ribosomal RNA, 500 nt
Filed under: uncultured bacterium
Lineage: Bacteria
Description: partial 16S ribosomal RNA
Rfam family: Bacterial small subunit ribosomal RNA
Source: RNAcentral
AUUGAACGCUGGCGGCAUGCCUUACACAUGCAAGUCGAACGGCAGCACGGGAGCAAUCCUGGUGGCGAGUGGCGAACGGGUGAGUAAAGUAUCGGAACGUGCCCAGUCGUGGGGGAUAACGUAGCGAAAGUUACGCUAAUACCGCAUACGAUCUAUGGAUGAAAGCGGGGGAUCGCAAGACCUCGCGCGAUUGGAGCGGCCGAUAUCAGAUUAGGUAGUUGGUGGGGUAAAGGCGCACCAAGCCGACGAUCUGUAGCUGGUCUGAGAGGACGACCAGCCACACUGGGACUGAAACGCGGCCCAGACUCCUACGGGAGGCAGCAGUGGGGAAUUUUGGACAAUGGGCGAAAGCCUGAUCCAGCCAUGCCGCGUGCAGGAUGAAGGACUUCGGGUUGUAAACUGCUUUUGUACGGAACGAAAAGGUUUGGCCUAAUAAGCUGAGCUCAUGACGGUACCGUAAGAAUAAGCACCGGCUAACUACGUGCCAGCCGCCGCCGUAA